This is a microRNA precursor of Oryza sativa Japonica Group (Japanese rice), 204 nucleotides long. It matches the Rfam family "MIR812 microRNA precursor family". The record is from Rfam. NCBI's taxonomy places the organism in Eukaryota, Viridiplantae, Streptophyta, Magnoliopsida, Poales, Poaceae.
AAUAGAUGAUACCGUUGACUUUUUCUCACGUGUUUGACCAUUCGUCUUAUUUAAAAAAUUUACGUAAUUAUAAUUUAUUUUAUUAUGAGUUGUUUUAUCACUCAUAGUACUUUAAGUGUGAUUUAUAUCUUAUACAUUUGCAUAGAAUUUUUAAAUAAGACGAAUGGUCAAACAUGUGAGAAAAAGUCAACGGCGUCAUCUAUU